This 465-nucleotide ribosomal RNA is filed under the name uncultured bacterium. RNAcentral's name for it is "partial 16S ribosomal RNA". It matches the Rfam family "Bacterial small subunit ribosomal RNA", at positions 338 to 795 of the family's 1533-position model. The record is from RNAcentral.
CCUACGGGAGGCUGCAGUGGGGAAUAUUGCGCAAUGGGCGAAAGCCUGACGCAGCGACGCCGCGUGAGGGAUGAAGGUCUUCGGAGUGUAAACCUCUGUCAGCAGGGAAGAACGGUCACUGUGCUAAUCAGCAGUGAAUUGACGGUACCUGCAAAGGAAGGAUCGGCUAACUCCGUGCCAGCAGCCGCGGUAAUACGGAGGGUGCGAGCGUUAAUCGGAAUGACUGGGCGUAAAGCGCUCGUAGGCGGUAUGUCAAGUCAAGGGUGAAAUCCCCGCGCGCAACGUGGGAACUGCCUUUGAAACUGGCAAACUGGAGUGUGUGAGAGGAUAGUGGAAUUCCAGGUGUAGGAGUGAAAUGCGUAGAUAUCUGGAGGAACAUCAGUGGCGAAGGCGACUAUCUGGCACAUAACUGACGCUGAGGAGCGAAAGCGUGGGUAGCAAACAGGAUUAGAUACCCUAGUAGUC